UAGGGAAUCUUCCACAAUGGACGCAAGUCUGAUGGAGCAACGCCGCGUGAGUGAAGAAGGUCUUCGGAUCGUAAAGCUCUGUUGUUGGUGAAGAAGGAUAGAGGCAGUAACUGGUCUUUAUUUGACGGUAAUCAACCAGAAAGUCACGGCUAACUACGUGCCAGCAGCCGCGGUAAUACGUAGGUGGCAAGCGUUGUCCGGAUUUAUUGGGCGUAAAGCGAGCGCAGGCGGAAUGAUAAGUCUGAUGUGAAAGCCCACGGCUCAACCGUGGAACUGCAUCGGAAACUGUCAUUCUUGAGUGCAGAAGAGGAGAGUGGAACUCCAUGUGUAGCGGUGGAAUGCGUAGAUAUAUGGAAGAACACCAGUGGCGAAGGCGGCUCUCUGGUCUGCAACUGACGCUGAGGCUCGAAAGCAUGGGUAGCGAACAGGAUUAGAUACCCUGGUAGUCCAUGCCGUAAACGAUGAGCGCUAGGUGUUGGGGACUUUCC
RNAcentral lists this ribosomal RNA (488 nucleotides) under uncultured bacterium. Its description in RNAcentral is "partial 16S ribosomal RNA". It matches the Rfam family "Bacterial small subunit ribosomal RNA", at positions 355 to 835 of the family's 1533-position model. The record is from RNAcentral.